GACGAACGCUGGCGGCGUGCUUAACACAUGCAAGUCGAACGGAAAGGCCCUGCUUUUGUGGGGUGCUCGAGUUGCGAACGGGUGAGUAACACGUGAGUAACCUGCCCUUGACUUUGGGAUAACUUCAGGAAACUGUGGCUAAUACCGGAUAGGAGCUCCUGCUGCAUGGUGGUGGUUGGAAAGUUUCGGCUGUUGGGGAUGGACUCGCGGCUUAUCAGCUUGUUGGUGGGGUAGUGGCUUACAAAGGCUUUGACGGGUAGCCGGCCUGAGAGGGUGACCGGCCACAUUGGGACUGAGAUACGGCCCAGACUGCUACGGGAGGCAGCAGUGGGGAAUAUUGCACAAUGGGCGGAAGCCUGAUGCAGCAACGCCGCGUGCGGGAUGACGGCCUUCGGGUUGUAAACCGCUUUCGCCUGUGACGAAGCGUGAGUGACGGUAAUGGGUAAAGAAGCACCGGCUAACUACGUG
Molecule: ribosomal RNA, 468 nt
Filed under: uncultured bacterium
Lineage: Bacteria
Description: partial 16S ribosomal RNA
Rfam family: Bacterial small subunit ribosomal RNA
Source: RNAcentral